Molecule: ribosomal RNA, 253 nt
Filed under: uncultured bacterium
Lineage: Bacteria
Description: partial 16S ribosomal RNA
Rfam family: Bacterial small subunit ribosomal RNA
Source: RNAcentral
UACGUAGGUGACCAGCGUUGUCCGGAUUUACUGGGCGUAAAGAGCGCGCAGGCGGUCGUUCAAGUCGAGUGUGAAAGCCCCCGGCUCAACUGGGGAGGGUCACUCGAUACUGAUCGACUGGAAGGCAGGAGAGGGAAGCGGAAUUCCCGGUGUAGUGGUGAAAUGCGCAGAUAUCAGGAGGAACACCGGUGGCGAAGGCGGGUCUCUGGGCCGUAACUGACGCUGAGGAGCGAAAGCAUGGGGAGCGAACAGG